AUUUGGUAAAAAAAAAAGGAGAAAAACAAGAGAAGAAAAUUACUUUUAUGUUCUUCCUGCUGGGAUUGCAUGGGACCAGCACCAGAGAGGUCACCACAUUUUAAUAUGUGACUCACAGCUUUCUAGGGGCACAGCUUCAUUGCUGCAGCUCAGCCCCAUCUCUGAAGAUCCCAGGUUGAGUUUCCAAAAUUUUUUUUGUGACAGUGUUUUGUGACAACUUUUGUUGCUGUCUCCUGGUUCGGUACAGAGCCAGCCUUUGGAUUGCUCUGACUCAACAGAGCAGCCAAAAGGCUCCCAGAGGAAGCCAACGCUUUUAUGGAGGAGGAGAUUAUCCACUUUUUAAUGACAUUAAAAUAAUAGACAAAAAGCUUUGGGAGCACUGUUAUCUGAUCUGUUUCUCCACAUCGGCCACAGCUGUGGUUAGGGGUUGCUAAGCCCUGUGUGCUGUACAUGUCCUGUGCUGCCUGGAUUAGGGGGAUGCUCUUCCCACAAUCAAGCUGUUUCAAAGUUUUAGGGAUUUCUGCACCUUUCCCUGGGCAAUGCAAUACCAGCUUCACUUUGGGGAUAACAAAGGCUGGAGGGACUUUGGCCAUGAGCCAGGCUAUUGGCUAGUAGAUCCCAGGUAGUCCUUGAGGAGACAUACUGAGCACUGAAUGUUCACCAUCCCCAAGCCAAAACCUCCCAUAUCUGAGCAGGUUUUCAGAUCCUCCUCUGGAAAACCAAGGGAAUUUACCCAGUUGGCAGAUGGGAGAUUGCUGCUGUCAAGCCACAGUUUUCUUGUAUUCAGCACUUACGGCUGAGCCAAGUUGCAGGGAAGUUGUGGCAGGUGGAGGAGUGCCAAGGGGCUGCAGCUUUUGAUGGCUGUGGUAGUUCUUGCAGCCUCUUGGAGAUGUAAAUCAGGAGAGCUUAAAACCAGUGGAGGCUGUCUGUAUGUUCACCUAAAUGUCUGACAUGAGGAUUGAGCCCUGAAUCUGUAUUUCUGCUGCAGUGAUGGCUUGGGCCAGGCUGAAGGAGGUUUGGCUGUUGAAAUCACGCCUUAUUCCAUAUAGAAACCUGCAUCUUCUUCCUGUUGUUUCAAGCCCUUCAUUAGGGCAUUGCUAUCCUGUUGCCCCUCCCCUCUCCCAUCCCAGGAUCCUGAGUUCUCCAAGAGCAGUCACAUCCUUCUAGUUUCACAUUAAACUUCUUCAGUUAAAUGAUUCCUUUCCUGAAAAAGUAAACAAACAAACAAACAACAACAAAAAAAAAACAAAAAAGAAGAAAGAAAAUAAAUUUCCUUAAAUUUCUUCAAAUUGCAUAAAACGUUUGGACAUAUGAGAGACUGGGACAUGCAGCGAGUGGUUGCUGGGCCUGACUUGAAGACUCCAGAAGAGUCUUAUUCUGGAAAAAGCCCAUCGGUUCUUUCUUAUGUGUGGCAUCCUAGACAAGCUUUUCACUCAGCCUUAAUCAGCAAAGCCACAAGCAUUUUGUUCAUCCUAUGGGGCUGUGCAUAGGGAACACACAGAUCUUCCUGGGGUGCAGUUCCUGUGUGCUCUUCUUGUAUAACCUUGGAUGGUUCCUGCCACGUGAUGAAGUAAUGAUUGUAGUCAUUGGUAUUUUUACCUUCUUGCCCAAAUAACUCCAGGACUCCCUGGAGGAGCUUCCCUACUGCUGUAGGAACCUGCUUAGGGAGCACACAGGGGUGCUGAGACAUGUGGAGUAGAAAAGAUACCUUUGUACAAUCAGGGUGAUGCUCUGAGAGGUCAUAGGAGGUGAACGGGGCAAUUUUUAAAACAAAUGGGUUUGAAAUGGGGUUUGUUGCAUGUCACAAACACUGGCCCUAUGUCCUGCUUUGUAGUCCCAAAUGGGAUCAGUGUACCAUCCUAGAACUGCUCUGCAUUUCUGUGAGCCUACAGAGGGCAAAAUCUCUUCCACUGUGAUGUAAGAACUGUCUCCCAUGCCAGGAACAUGGAUUCCUGGAGCCACUGGUAGCCACUGGGCCAAUCAAAAAGCCAUCUUAAUGCCCCUCCCACAGCACCCCAAAACACAUCAGGUUUUACAGCUGAAUGCAAAGUGGGGUUUUCUCAGCCAGGGAUGGGGUUCAGGGAUUGGUUCUGAAACAGCAGCACUGGAUUGAUGCAGUGAUGUUCAGCUUUCCCUGCGCUGCUUGGAAAUGCAUUGGAAAUCCAAGGGGGUCGUUAAAUCACGGAAGCAAUUUACUGUAGGUCUUUUCCACACAGCUCUGAGAUGGCCAGUGGUAAAUACAAGAAUAUCAAUAUUGCAGAGUGGCCACAGGUUUGGAAGUCAGUGACACAGCAAGUGUGAGGCAUUUUAAUGCUGUGGAGGAGAGGAGGGAGAGAUGAGGUGCCAAAGGUUUGCAGGCAGCAACAUGUUGGAGCCUCAUCAGCUCCUGAGGCAAAUCACAGUGUUCAGAGGGUUUCAAAACUCUGUGCCAUCAUGGAGAGGGUGGCAUCUCUGCAGAGUCCUGGGAGCACAAGUGUCCUAGCCUGUACAACAGCACCCUGGUGAACCUGGUACUACCUCUUUCCUCUUUGUUUUAGGAAAGCAUCUCUGUGGCACCUUACUUUUGGUAAAUUAAGGCAGCAGCAACUCCUGAGAGUGGAAAGCCUGGCUCUAGGCAUCCAACAAGUCCAUGCACUGCUGUCAUAGUUCCUUUGGAGAUGUCUCGCUGUGGCCAGCAGGCAGCCUGCCCACAGCAGGGCAAUGAGGUUCUUCCAGCAGCUCUGCCUUUAAGCAAGAGCUAAGGUCUGGGAGGAUGCAGGGUGGUGGGAAUAUCUGAACUCCCUCUGCUGAGGUAAAAAAUGCUGGGUGAAUUCCCAGAGCACUGUGUGAGUAACAAAAAGCCAUGCAAAGGGUUUUAAUCUCACCUGAACAUCCACGUUCAUUCCUGAUGAAUUUAGGGGCGGGAGCAGUAGCUCCUUGACGGCCAUGAGUGAAUGUGCUGGGUUCUCUUUAGCCCCUUGCCACAAGCUGGGUCUUGUACUGGCUGUUAACCCCCAAUGUUAUCCAUUCUUCACAUCCAGCACUGCGAGGACAGCCAUGGCCUGGGAUAAUUCAACAUUCUCUUUCCCUAAUAAAGCAAGAGCUUUCCCUUGUCUUUCUGUAGCUGGGCAGAAGAGCUGAAAUGGGGAUUUGUCCCAGGUGGAUGCAGCUUCACACAACUGUCUGACACAUUGACAUCCAUCAGCCCAUCAGAAACAGGCACAGGAGUAUGCCAGGCAGACCUCAGCAAUUGUGAAUCUCUUCUCCUGAUGGAAGUCAAUAUAGGAUGAGGCAUGAGCUGGGGAAACAGGUCUCUGGCUGGCCAGUGGGAGCCCAGCCCUGCUAAAACUGAGACUGGGCUUAUUCACCUUUCAACCUUCCUGCCCCAUCAUCCUCUUGGCAUGUCCUGCCUGAUAAUAAAUUCAGGGGUGUUAAGUGAAACAGCUGUGGAUUUGCAAAGAAGCUGAAUUCAGGUGUUUUCCAGGAAAAGCACUGCCCAUGAACAAGUCUGGGUUUGCAAGGUCACUGCUUGGAGGGAUAGAGGCAUUUGGUUUGCACCGUCAUCUCCAGGCCUCCCUUGGGAAGCCCAGUAUCCCUCCCUCCCUGAAAUCCUUUCCAAGCUGGGAUGUGAAAAUAAGUGAAACCUGUUUAGUUGUUACAGGCAGGAUUUAAUCACCUUAAAUUAUUCUAAGUGGAUGGGGAAGCAUCCUGUGAUCUCCAAGCCAAGCAGGUCACCUUUAAUUUCCUUUUCCUUCCAUCAGUAAUGCUUGUGGAUGGGUGUUUGAUUUAUUAAGCGCUGAAUAACAGGGCUUUCGUGUGUAUUGCUGUCAGAGAGAUAAAUAGGCCCCUUUGAAGGCGAGUUUCAGGGAGGUGGCUGUGGCUUUUGGAAUAUAUAUAUCCAUAAAGCACUGCAGACUGCCCCCUCCUUGGACAUCCGUGAUCUUUCAGACCGUGCACGGCUCUCCCCCAUCCACCCUGGGCCCUGUAACGUGCUCGGAGUGAUGAUCUCCACCGUGCCCUGCUGGGAGGAUGAUUAAUGCUUGCAAAGUGAUUUGAGAACAUCAGAUUAGUAGGACAGAGCCUCAUUAUUAUAUUAGCAAUCACCGGAUCCUUGGCCUUUUUCACUCUCAGCGCACUUAGAGCCGCAUCUAAAAGCCAAGUGCUGUUUACUAGCAAACCUCUCUGCGUUUGGAUACUUUGGGGAGGGCGUUUUGUGUUGUUCACAGGUUUAUUUUUACUGAUGCACCUGCGGUCCAGACUCUUCCAGGGUCCCCACAAACCACUACCCUGCUUUUCAGGCAAACACUGUGAAGAUUAAAAAUAAAGACCACUGGGUGCUCACUGUUAUAACUAUAGAAACCAAAUAUUUGCUUCAACUAUAAAAGGCAGGAGUGUUUAUGAGUAUGAGGCAAAAAGGCAUUUCCAGCCGAACUGGAAUGUAUUUUAGUUCUGCAGACUAUUUAUAGAUAGGCAGCCACUCUAAAUUUGAAUCUUCCCUUCCGUAAGCAAUUUUUUUUUUGUGCCUACUGGGAUAUAUCCUUGUCUGGGGUUUAGCAACGUCACUCCAGGCUGUCCAAACAAUUUGGAGUCACCUUAUGAGACAUGGUGACUUGUUUUGGGGGGUUUCUCUGGCAGGUCUGUGAAGCCACAGAAGGUAGCUUGAAAGAUGAAUAAGUAUUUCCUUUGACUGUAAAUGAAAUAUUUUGAUUUGGAGAAAUUGUGUUAACCCUUCCAGUGUGAAAGUCAGUGUGAACUUAAAAAUCCAAACAUAGUUAUGAAAUGCUAAAAUUAAUUGUUUCAGGAGCUUGGAAGGGAAAUUAAAUAAUGUUUUUGUCCAACCAAACAAAUAAAAAUUGCAGAAUUAUUAUGAAUUAGCAAAA
This is a non-coding RNA of Taeniopygia guttata (zebra finch), 4859 nucleotides long. The record is from RefSeq and is a predicted model, not a curated record. NCBI's taxonomy places the organism in Eukaryota, Metazoa, Chordata, Aves, Passeriformes, Estrildidae.